GCCGCACCGCCGGCCGACCCUAAUCUUCUGUAAAGGGUUUGAGUUGGAGCACGCCUGUCGAGACCCGAACGAUGGUUAACUAAGCCUGAGCGAGGCGAAGCCAAAGGAAACUCUGG
RNAcentral lists this ribosomal RNA (116 nucleotides) under Oryza sativa Japonica Group (Japanese rice). RNAcentral's name for it is "28S ribosomal RNA". It matches the Rfam family "Eukaryotic large subunit ribosomal RNA", at positions 752 to 867 of the family's 3401-position model. Lineage: Eukaryota; Viridiplantae; Streptophyta; Magnoliopsida; Poales; Poaceae. The record is from RNAcentral.